This 870-nucleotide ribosomal RNA is filed under the name Aplosporella sp. GCR-2022b. Its description in RNAcentral is "partial large subunit ribosomal RNA". It matches the Rfam family "Eukaryotic large subunit ribosomal RNA", at positions 61 to 949 of the family's 3401-position model. The record is from RNAcentral. Lineage: Eukaryota; Fungi; Ascomycota; Dothideomycetes; Botryosphaeriales; Aplosporellaceae.
GAACCCAACAGGGAUUGCCUCAGUAACGGCGAGUGAAGCGGCAACAGCUCAAAUUUGAAAUCUGGCCCUUUCAGGGUCCGAGUUGUAAUUUGUAGAGGAUGCUUCGGCGAGGGCUCCCGUCUAAGUUCCCUGGAACGGGACGUCAUAGAGGGUGAGAAUCCCGUAUGUGAUGGGUUGCUCGAGCCAUGUGAAGCUCCUUCGACGAGUCGAGUUGUUUGGGAAUGCAGCUCUAAAUGGGAGGUAAAUUUCUUCUAAAGCUAAAUACCGGCCAGAGACCGAUAGCGCACAAGUAGAGUGAUCGAAAGAUGAAAAGCACUUUGGAAAGAGAGUUAAAAAGUACGUGAAAUUGUUGAAAGGGAAGCGCUUGCAACCAGACUUGUCCGCAGUUGUUCAGCCGGUCUCCUGACCGGCGUACUCUUCUGCGGCCAGGCCAGCAUCAGUUCGGGCGGCUGGAUAAAGGCCUCGGGAAUGUGGCUCUCUUCGGGGAGUGUUAUAGCCCGGGGCGGAAUGCAGCCAGCCUGGACUGAGGAUCUCGCUUCGGCAAGGAUGCUGGCGUAAUGGUUGUAAGCGGCCCGUCUUGAAACACGGACCAAGGAGUCUAACAUCUAUGCGAGUGUUUGGGUGUCAAACCCAUACGCGUAAUGAAAGUGAACGGAGGUGGGAACCCGCAAGGGCGCACCAUCGACCGAUCCUGAUGUCUUCGGAUGGAUUUGAGUAAGAGCAUAGCUGUUGGGACCCGAAAGAUGGUGAACUAUGCCUGAAUAGGGUGAAGCCAGAGGAAACUCUGGUGGAGGCUCGCAGCGGUUCUGACGUGCAAAUCGAUCGUCAAAUUUGGGUAUAGGGGCGAAAGACUAAUCGAACCAUCUAGUA